RNAcentral lists this ribosomal RNA (863 nucleotides) under uncultured bacterium. RNAcentral's name for it is "bacterial SSU rRNA". It matches the Rfam family "Bacterial small subunit ribosomal RNA", at positions 535 to 1403 of the family's 1533-position model. The record is from RNAcentral.
CAAGCGUUAUCCGGAAUUAUUGGGGCGUAAAGAGUGCGUAGGCGGUUGAUUAAGUCUGGCGUAAAAUCCCCACAGCUUAACUGUGGAGGGUCAUUGGAAACUGGUCGACUAGAGUACGGUAGAGGUAAGCGGAAUUCCAAGUGGAGCGGUAAAAUGCGUAGAUAUUUGGAGGAACACCGGUGGCGAAGGCGACUUACUGGGCCGGAACUGACGCUGAUGCACGAAAGCGUGGGGAGCAAACAGGAUUAGAUACCCUGGUAGUCCACGCCGUAAACUAUGAGCACUAAGUGUCGGAGUAAAAUUCGGUGCUGCAGUUAACACAAUAAGUGCUCCGCCUGGGGAGUACGGUCGCAAGACUGAAACUCAAAGGAAUUGACGGGGACUCGCACAAGCGGUGGAGCAUGCGGUUUAAUUCGAUGCAACGCGAAGAACCUUACCAGGUCUUGACAUACUGUUGACAGGGUUAGAGAUAGCCCCUUUCUUCGGAACAACAGAUACAGGUGGUGCAUGGUUGUCGUCAGCUCGUGUCGUGAGAUGUUGGGUUAAGUCCCGCAACGAGCGCAACCCUUAUCAUUAGUUGCUAACAGUCAGAUGAGCACUCUAAUGAGACCGCCGGCGUAAGCCGGAUGGAGGUGGGGAUGACGCCAAAUCAUCAUGCCCCUUAUGACCUGGGCUACACGCGUGCUACAAUGGCUAGUACAAAGAGUUGCGAAACCGCGAGGUGGAGCUAAUCUCAUAAAGCUAGUCUCAGUUCGGAUUGUAGUCUGCAACUCGACUACAUGAAGUUGGAAUCGCUAGUAAUCGUGAGUCAGAAUGCCACGGUGAAUACGUUCUCGAGUCUUGUACACACCGCCCGUAAGGGC